Gasterosteus aculeatus aculeatus (three-spined stickleback) is the source of this 1257-nucleotide long non-coding RNA. Lineage: Eukaryota; Metazoa; Chordata; Actinopteri; Perciformes; Gasterosteidae. The record is from Ensembl.
CCCAAACUCGCCACAUCAAAAUGGCACUGCUGAACGAAACUGCCGCACACUAUUUGACAUGGCCAGGUGUUUGCUAUUGGACAGUAAGCUACCAAAAGAGCUGUGGACGUACGCAGUCCAGAAAGCUGCUGUAGUGAGGAACAGAUGUUUUAACAACCGCACAAAGCAGACGCCUUACUCACUGCUUAAAGGGAAACGACCUAACUUGUCCAGAAUGCAGAAGUUUGGUUCAGAGUGUUAUGCUUACAAACAGGACAAGAGAAAAUUGGACGCAAGGUGUGAAAAGGGGAUUUUUGAUGGAUAUGACAAGAACAGUCCAGCCUAUAUGGUUUAUUUUUCUGACACUGGAAAAGUGCAGAAGCAUAGACUGGUGAAGUUUAUCAACAAAACAAACACGGAGAAACAGACACAAACUGACAUGACACCUGUCAAUGAUGACUUUGAGCUGCAGCAUAGAGUUACCAAUACCAGUAAAAAUACUGAUGCGAGUCCAGCCCAUACACAAGACCAGGUGCCAGUUCCUAUGCUUGAAGUGCAUUACAGAUUUCCUUAUCUAUUACACAGGGACAGCGAGUUACACAGAAUCCCACACCUCAAACAAAUGAGAACCAGCGCAAAACUAUAACAGCUAUCUAAAAAAUACGGUGUUUUGACGAGACCCAAGACUCUAUCGAACGCAUGGAUAUGCUUUUUAUGUCUGGCCGGUAAUAAAUACGGCUCCUAUGGCAGUUGACAAAACGUGUACCUUCUGGAUUUUUGUGAGAAAUAUGUCGGCAGAUUUGUAUUGGAGCCUAUGGGCUUUUGGCAGAGGUUGUGUCACUCUAACACUCCUUAAGCCAAAACUAAAGAACUCUGGGAUUCCAUGAACGCAUUAAUCCAAUCAGCACAACCAUGCCCUCAUUCAUCUAAAGAAAUGAAGCCUCUAGAGUGUAUACUUUGGCUGCAAGGACAGAAGUUCCAUAUUUUUUUAACCAGAUUUCUGCGAUGCCUCACACUCUAGCCCUCGAGGUCCCCACUCUAGCAGACGCAAUACACACUCAUGUAAAAGUCAGAAACGGAGCGAAGAACAAGUGAAACAUAAUCAGUGAUUAUGAAAAAAGUACAAUAGAUAUCAAGAAGCAGUUUUUUUCAUAAAAUAGUGGAGACUCGUGUCAACAUUUGAAAGUUGAAAUGGUGUCUGUAGCUGAAAGAUUGGCGAAGCUGAAGAAUCUGAAAGUUGAAGAAGUUGAAGAGGAUUUGGAAAGCAAACUCCAUUUG